CAUGCAAGUCGAACGGAAAGGCCCUUUCGGGGGUACUCGAGUGGCGAACGGGUGAGUAACACGUGGGUGAUCUGCCCUGCACUUUGGGAUAAGCCUGGGAAACUGGGUCUAAUACCGAAUAGGACCACGCGCUUCAUGGUGUGUGGUGGAAAGCUUUUGCGGUGUGGGAUGGGCCCGCGGCCUAUCAGCUUGUUGGUGGGGUAAUGGCCUACCAAGGCGACGACGGGUAGCCGGCCUGAGAGGGUGUCCGGCCACACUGGGACUGAGAUACGGCCCAGACUCCUACGGGAGGCAGCAGUGGGGAAUAUUGCACAAUGGGCGCAAGCCUGAUGCAGCGACGCCGCGUGGGGGAUGACGGCCUUCGGGUUGUAAACCUCUUUCAGUAUCGGCGAAGCUCCAGGAUUCUUCUUGGGGUGACGGUAGGUACAGAAGAAGCACCGGCCAACUACGUGCCAGCAGCC
Molecule: small RNA, 461 nt
Filed under: Mycobacterium sp. FI-06034
Lineage: Bacteria; Bacillati; Actinomycetota; Actinomycetes; Mycobacteriales; Mycobacteriaceae
Description: bacterial SSU rRNA
Rfam family: Bacterial small subunit ribosomal RNA
Source: RNAcentral